Molecule: ribosomal RNA, 450 nt
Filed under: uncultured bacterium
Lineage: Bacteria
Description: bacterial SSU rRNA
Rfam family: Bacterial small subunit ribosomal RNA
Source: RNAcentral
ACUCCUACGGGAGGCAGCAGUAGGGAAUCUUCCACAAUGGACGAAAGUCUGAUGGAGCAAUUCCGCGUGAUCGAUGAAGCAUCUAGGUGUGUAAAGAUCUUUUCUGAGGGAAGAAUUAUGACGGUACCUUAGGAAUAAGCACCGGCUAACUCCGUGCCAGCAGCCGCGGUAAUACGGAGGGUGCAAGCGUUAUCCGGAUUUAUUGGGCGUAAAGCGUCCGCAGGCGGUCUAACAAGUAUGAUAUGAAAGACGGAAGCUCAACUUUCGCAACGUAUUGUAAACUGUUAGACUAGAGGACUGGAGAGGUGUGUAGAAUUCUGCAUGUAGGGGUAAAAUCCGUAGAUAUGCAGAGGAAUACCAAAAGCGAAGGCAGCACACUGGACAGUUCCUGACGCUCAGGGACGAAAGCGUAGGUAGCGAACGGGAUUAGAUACCCUGGUAGGAUAGCGU